GACGAACGCUGGCGGCGUGCUUAACACAUGCAAGUCGAACGGAAAGGCCCUGCUUUUGUGGGGUGCUCGAGUGGCGAACGGGUGAGUAACACGUGAGUAACCUGCCCUUGACUUUGGGAUAACUUCAGGAAACUGGGGCUAAUACCGGAUAGGAGCUCCUGCUGCAUGGUGGGGGUUGGAAAGUUUCGGCGGUUGGGGAUGGACUCGCGGCUUAUCAGCUUGUUGGUGGGGUAGUGGCUUACAAAGGCUUUGACGGGUAGCCGGCCUGAGAGGGUGACCGGCCACAUUGGGACUGAGAUACGGCCCAGACUCCUACGGGAGGCAGCAGUGGGGAAUAUUGCACAAUGGGCGGAAGCCGGAUGCAGCAACGCCGCGUGCGGGAGGACGGCCUUCGGGUUGUAAACCGCUUUAGCCUGUGACGAAGCGUGAGUGACGGUAAUGGGUAAAGAAGCACCGGCUAACUACGU
This 467-nucleotide ribosomal RNA is filed under the name uncultured bacterium. RNAcentral's name for it is "partial 16S ribosomal RNA". It matches the Rfam family "Bacterial small subunit ribosomal RNA", at positions 28 to 506 of the family's 1533-position model. The record is from RNAcentral.